UUGAUUCUUGGGUCCAGGACGAACGGUGGCGGCAAUGCUUAUUACAUGCAAGUCGAGGGAACUGACGGAGGAACUUGUUCCUCUUGACGUGAGCGGCGGACGGGUGAGUAACACGUGGGAAACCUACCUUUCAGCGGGGGAUAACGUUCGGAAACGGACGCUAAUACCGCAUAACGUUAACAAUCGCAUGAUUGUUAAAUAAAAGACGGCUCUGCUGUCACUGAAAGAUGGACCCGCGGUGCAUUAGUUAGUUGGUAAGGUAACGGCUUACCAAGACGAUGAUGCAUAGCCGACCUGAGAGGGUGAUCGGCCACACUGGGACUGAGACACGGCCCAGACUCCUACGGGAGGCAGCAGUAGGGAAUCUUCCGCAAUGGACGCAAGUCUGACGGAGCAAUGCCGCGUGUAUGAAGAAGGUCUCCGGAUCGUAAAGUACUGUUAUCAGCCAAGAACAAUUCACAGAGUAACUGUUGUGGAUCUGACGGUAACUGAUCAGAAAGCCACGGCUAACUACGUGCCAGCAGCCGCGGUAAUACGUAGGUGGCAAGCGUUGUCCGGAUUUAUUGGGCGUAAAGGGAGCGCAGGCGGUGACUUAAGUCUGAUGUGAAAGCCCACGGCUCAACCGUGGAAGGUCAUUGGAAACUGGGUCACUUGAAUGGAGCAGAGGAGAACGGAAUUCCAUGUGUAGCAGUGAAAUGCGUAGAUAUAUGGAGGAACACCAGUGGCGAAGGCGGUUCUCUGGGCUCACAUUGACGCUGAGGCUCGAAAGCGUGGGGAGCGAACAGGAUUAGAUACCCUGGUAGUCCACGCCGUAAACGAUGAGUGCUAAGUGUUGGGGGGCUUCCACCCCUCAGUGCUGGCGUAACGCAAUAA
Molecule: ribosomal RNA, 873 nt
Filed under: uncultured bacterium
Lineage: Bacteria
Description: bacterial SSU rRNA
Rfam family: Bacterial small subunit ribosomal RNA
Source: RNAcentral